UGUUGAUGAGAUAUGAGGUUUGGGUGUGUUAGUUUAAACAGAGAUUAGUUCUUCUACUGGAGAUAAAAACACUUUGUGCACGGAGAUCUCUUUUGGCUCAAAAGUCAAACACUUAAAAACCAAAACAUAAAAUGUAAAGUCGCA
Sander lucioperca (pikeperch) is the source of this 144-nucleotide long non-coding RNA. RefSeq lists it as uncharacterized. NCBI's taxonomy places the organism in Eukaryota, Metazoa, Chordata, Actinopteri, Perciformes, Percidae. The transcript has 3 exons. The record is from RefSeq and is a predicted model, not a curated record.